Molecule: ribosomal RNA, 253 nt
Filed under: uncultured bacterium
Lineage: Bacteria
Description: partial 16S ribosomal RNA
Rfam family: Bacterial small subunit ribosomal RNA
Source: RNAcentral
UACGUAGGGGGCAAGCGUUGUCCGGAAUUAUUGGGCGUAAAGCGCGCGCAGGCGGCUUACUAAGUCUGGUGUGAAAGCCCACGGCUCAACCGUGGAGGGCCAUUGGAAACUGGUAGGCUUGAGUGCAGGAGAGGAGAGCGGAAUUCCCGGUGUAGCGGUGGAAUGCGUAGAUAUCGGGAGGAACACCAGUGGCGAAAGCGGCGCUCUGGGCCUAAACUGACGCUGAGGGGCGAAAGCGUGGGGAGCGAACGGG